This is a non-coding RNA of Cordylochernes scorpioides, 75 nucleotides long. NCBI's taxonomy places the organism in Eukaryota, Metazoa, Arthropoda, Arachnida, Pseudoscorpiones, Chernetidae. The record is from the annotation of a GenBank genome assembly.
GAAGUUGCAUCAUGGGCGUGACAUCACUGCCGCAUGGGUGGUGGCUGGCUCGCGCCGCGUGGGGGGCAUCUUCUU